GACGAACGCUGGCGGCGUGCCUAAUACAUGCAAGUCGAGCGGACGGAUGGGAGCUUGCUCCCAGACCGUCAGCGGCGGACGGGUGAGUAACACGUGGGCAACCUGCCUGUAAGACUGGGAUAACGCCGGGAAACCGGGGCUAAUACCGGAUAACUCUUUCCCUCACAUGAGGGAAAGCUGAAAGAUGGCAUCUCGCUAUCACUUACAUAUGGGCCCGCGGCGCAUUAGCUAGUUGGUGAGGUAACGGCUCACCAAGGCGACGAUGCGUAGCCGACCUGAGCGGGUGAUCGGCCACACUGGGACUGAGACACGGCCCAGACUCCUACGGGAGGCAGCAGUAGGGAAUCUUCCGCAAUGGACGAAAGUCUGACGGAGCAACGCCGCGUGAGUGAUGAAGGUUUUCGGAUCGUAAAACUCUGUUGUCAGGGAAGAACAAGUACCGGAGUAACUGCCGGUACCUUGACGGUCCCUGACCAGAAAGCCACGGCUAACUACGUG
Molecule: ribosomal RNA, 498 nt
Filed under: uncultured bacterium
Lineage: Bacteria
Description: partial 16S ribosomal RNA
Rfam family: Bacterial small subunit ribosomal RNA
Source: RNAcentral